ACACGACUACAUUAGAUACCCGCGUAGUCCUAGCCGUAAACGAUACUCGCUAGGUGUCGGCCACGGUGCGACCGUUGUCGGUGCCGUAGGGAAGCCGUGAAGCGAGCCACCUGGGAAGUACGGCCGCAAGGCUGAAACUUAAAGGAAUUGGCGGGGGAGCACCACAACGGGUGGAGCUUGCGGCUUAAUUGGAUUCAACGCCGGAAAUCUUACCGGGACCGACAGCAACAUGAAGGCCAGGCUGAAGACUUUGCCGGAUUAGCUG
Molecule: ribosomal RNA, 265 nt
Filed under: uncultured archaeon
Lineage: Archaea
Description: partial 16S ribosomal RNA
Rfam family: Archaeal small subunit ribosomal RNA
Source: RNAcentral